GGCGGCAUGCCUUACACAUGCAAGUCGAACGCGAAAGCGGGGCAACCCGCAAGUAGAGUGGCGAACGGGUGAGUAAUACAUCGGAACGUGUCCAGUAGCGGGGGAUAACCUCUCGAAAGAGAGGCUAAUACCGCAUACGACCUACGGGUGAAAGAGGGGGAUCGCAAGACCUCUCACUAUUGGAGCGGCCAAUAUCAGAUUAGCUAGUUGGUGGGGUAAAAGCCCACCAAGGCGACGAUCUGUAGCUGGUCUGAGAGGACGACCAGCCACACUGGGACUGAGACACGGCCCAGACUCCUACGGGAGGCAGCAGUGGGGAAUUUUGGACAAUGGACGCAAGUCUGAUCCAGCCAUGCCGCGUGCGGGAAGAAGGCCUUCGGGUUGUAAACCGCUUUUGUCAGGGAAGAAACGACUCCUUCUAAUACAAGGGGUUAAUGACGGUACCUGAAGAAUAAGCACCGGCUAACUACGUGCCAGCAGCCGCGGUAAUACGUAGGGUGCAAGCGUUAAUCGGAAUUACUGGGCGUAAAGCGUGCGCAGGCGGUUAUGCAAGACAGAUGUGAAAUCCCCGGGCUCAACCUGGGAACUGCAUUUGUGACUGCAUAGCUAGAGUACGGUAGAGGGGGAUGGAAUUCCGCGUGUAGCAGUGAAAUGCGUAGAUAUGCGGAGGAACACCGAUGGCGAAGGCAAUCCCCUGGACCUGUACUGACGCUCAUGCACGAAAG
Molecule: ribosomal RNA, 725 nt
Filed under: uncultured soil bacterium
Lineage: Bacteria
Description: bacterial SSU rRNA
Rfam family: Bacterial small subunit ribosomal RNA
Source: RNAcentral